CGUACACUCCUGCGGGAGGCAGCAGUGAGGAAUAUUGGACAAUGGGUGGAAGCCUGAUCCAGCCAUCCCGCGUGCAGGAAGACGGCCCUAUGGGUUGUAAACUGCUUUUAUCUGGGGAUAAACCUACUUACGUGUAAGUAGCUGAAGGUACCAGAAGAAUAAGCACCGGCUAACUCCGUGCCAGCAGCCGCGGUAAUACGGAGGGUGCAAGCGUUAUCCGGAUUUAUUGGGUUUAAAGGGUCCGUAGGCGGACUGAUAAGUCAGUGGUGAAAUCCGACAGCUUAACUGUCGAACUGCCAUUGAUACUGUUAGUCUUGAGUAAGGUUGAAGUGGCUGGAAUAAGUAGUGUAGCGGUGAAAUGCAUAGAUAUUACUUAGAACACCAAUUGCGAAGGCAGGUCACUAAGUCUUAACUGACGCUGAUGGACGAAAGCGUGGGGAGCGAACAGGAUUAGAAACCCGUGUAGUCCCAUGAU
RNAcentral lists this ribosomal RNA (475 nucleotides) under uncultured organism. RNAcentral's name for it is "partial 16S ribosomal RNA". It matches the Rfam family "Bacterial small subunit ribosomal RNA", at positions 330 to 801 of the family's 1533-position model. The record is from RNAcentral.